Camellia sinensis is the source of this 1017-nucleotide non-coding RNA. NCBI's taxonomy places the organism in Eukaryota, Viridiplantae, Streptophyta, Magnoliopsida, Ericales, Theaceae. The record is from RefSeq and is a predicted model, not a curated record.
UACUUCCAAUAGUGAUUCAGUUAAUGAAGUUAUGACUCAAAUGAAUGAGUUAACAGAGCACAUGGAGGGAUCUUCUACUGACCCUGCAGCAUUACAGGAGCAAAUCUUCACACAAGUUAUGGGCCCAGAGCGACCUGGCCGUGUUCGGACGUUUGGAUUGGGACCGUCACCCACUGAUGUUUUUGGAGGUGGAUAUAGGCGGUCACAAGAGCAGAAUCGUCUCUUCCAAACUCAAGUUCAGGAACAAGUUCAAGAGCAACUUCAACGGUAUCAAAUGCAGUUCGAGUCGAAGAUGAAUGAAGUAAUGGAGAAACAAAUUCAGGCUAUACGCACAGAUUUUCAGUCACGAAUUCAGUUUUUGGAAUCUCAAUUGCAAGCUGCAGGCGUGCCCGUUGAUUUAGUUGUUGCACCAUCAAACCCAUUACAUAGGCAGCAGGUAUUUUAUUAUUUUUACUAGUUAUUACUUUAAAUUUCCUAGAGCUAAUAUACAACUUAAGCCUCUUAUUGAAUGAUAGGUUGUGGAUUCACUUAGUAGUCAUCCUACUGUUCGGCCAAUGUCACAUCAACAACAAUCUCAUGCAUUUUCAUCCCAAGAGGUUCACCUUUCAAAGAAAGAGAAGAAGAAUAAGAAGAAAAAGAACUAACAAGGAAGAGGCUACCAAAAGCAAGUCUGCAGGAAAGGCAUAGUACCAGACUAUGAUCUCCGACAGCGAUUACACCGAGUUUGAAAACUUCUCAAAGUGGUUGGGAGUCUCCCAGUGAGAUUUUUCUGUCUUUGAGUUUUGUCUUAGUAUAAUAUCUUUAUCUAAUUGUUUUGUUUCAAGAGGAGUUAAUUUACUUUUUGUGGCAGUUUUGAGACAAGAUUUGAGUUUGGUGGGUAAUGUUUUAUGACAAGAUGGAUGGAUUUUUCAUUUUAGCAGAUCUGGAAUCAAAAUUUUACAAAUUGUAGUCUCUUACUUAAACACGGUUUGUUAAGUUUUUUUUGAAUGAGAAAUUGAAUUAAUGCUUCAUUUGUUA